Long non-coding RNA from Phlebotomus papatasi, 1733 nucleotides. RefSeq lists it as uncharacterized. The record is from RefSeq and is a predicted model, not a curated record. NCBI's taxonomy places the organism in Eukaryota, Metazoa, Arthropoda, Insecta, Diptera, Psychodidae. The transcript has 2 exons.
AAUAAUUGAGCAGAAAUAAAUCACUCAAUAAAAUCAUUCAAUUGCAAUUCGUUGAUAAAUUUGCAAUUCUCUCUGCAGUUAUUUUUCAAAUAAUAUUGUCAAGUGAUCUGCUUUGAGUUUAAAAUAUCAUUUUCAUUUUGAGUGACCAGACCAGACACAUGAAGAAUUCUAGGACAUUAUAAUAUUUUAUUCAAUGAAUAAUGCAGGGUGUCUGGUCACUCAAGCGAUUAUCAGUGUUUUCUUCUGCAUUUUGUCGGCUUUUCUGGCUCAAUUAUAGAUAAGAUUGGUGUUGAGGAAAGUUUAUUUCCUCGGAAAAGUGUGUCGAUGAAAGGUGGACAGAAUAUUGAAAGAUAAUCCUUAAUAAAAAGGAAAAGAAAAUUGGAGGAAAAACUCCAUUGCGUUGAUCAUGGUUAAAAAUAGGAGGAAAUUAAUCUAAUUAUAUCUUUCAUCAGCUGCCCCAGAGGCAUUCUGUGCUGGGUGAAUUCUCUGAUAAUUUGCAGAAUCACUGGAUGACGAAUUUGUUGUGCAAUUGUUCUUGUCCGGAGACUCGAAGCUUAUAACCUUGAAGCGGGAACGUCACGCUUAGCGGCAGGUGAGAAAAAGGCGCAUCGCUGGCAAAAGAAGCCUCCUAUCGACCACGGAGGUUAUCAAUUGAGGCAAGGGAUGGCGGGAUGACGCCAAAGGAGGAGUCCUUUGUGCAUUUUUUGCCCAAAAUACCACGAAAAGCAGGAGAAAGGGAAGCAAAAGAGAACUUACCACAGAAAAUGUAGAGACGUGGUACUCCACUUUUGGAUUCUGCCAGAGCUAAAAGUGGAGUCCAUGGCUUACUCUCGUCAUUGAUGGCCCUCUGGAUACACUCCUUGGCUUCAGCAACUUUUGCAGACAUUUUUCACGAGAAUUUUUUACACAGAAUAACUAAAAAUUUCACGCCCGAAAAUCCAGCAGCAGAGGAAAAAACGAUGCGCUUGCUAGGUGCACUUUUGACAACAGAGUGAAGUUAUCAACAAUCGUUUUUUCGUUCACUAGGUGGCGCGUUAUCGCCGGUACCGGCAAAAUUCAAUUUCAAACCUCCUACUCAACGAAAACGGUUUCUCUAUAAAAAACAUUUAUCUGUGCUUCAAAUGGAAUUUUUAAUUAAAUAAAUUCUAAAUUGAGGUACAUUCAGCAGCCAGAAGAAGAACAUUGUUGAAAUUACUCAUGUGUUGUGAACUAGUUCGAUGGUGUUGUCCGUGAAAGAGGGAUCUACUUGGGGAUGAAAAGAAUUUUAGGAAGUAACAUAAAUUGAUUCAAUCAUCCUUCUGAGGUUUUUUACCUUUAUUCCUGUUGAGCAUUUGCUUCUGGAUGGCUGAUAUAGGAAGCUCCAGCACGAUGCAGAGAAGAGCACCACCCAAAUAUGAGAGAAUGAGCGUUGAUGAGACAUAAACCACCUGGAAGUUGGAAAAUUAGGUCAAAAUCUCAACAUUUUGACCCUUUCAGGAGCUACACUCACAAUUGUGGAGUCGCUGAGAAAGACAGGCUGUCGGACGUUACCCAUUGUAGCCCUCAGGAUGAAUGGAUGGCACAAAUAAACGCAGAAAGUUAUCCGGCCAAGUGGACGAAAGAUUGGGUUGCAUAAGAAGUCGCGCGCAACCCCUGCAAUUUUAUUAAAAUUAAUUGAUUUUAGGGGAAUGUGGAACAACUGUGGAGUGGGGCAGCUUUGAAAUUGGGCUUUUUUCUCCUAUUUUUAAAUGAUG